RNAcentral lists this ribosomal RNA (253 nucleotides) under uncultured bacterium. Its description in RNAcentral is "partial 16S ribosomal RNA". It matches the Rfam family "Bacterial small subunit ribosomal RNA", at positions 524 to 776 of the family's 1533-position model. The record is from RNAcentral.
UACGGGGGGAGCAAGCGUUGUUCGGAAUUACUGGGCGUAAAGCGCACGUAGGCGGACUACUAAGUCAGGGGUGAAAUCCCGGGGCUCAACCCCGGAACUGCCUUUGAUACUGGUAGUCUCGAGUCCGGAAGAGGUGAGUGGAAUUCCGAGUGUAGAGGUGAAAUUCGUAGAUAUUCGGAGGAACACCAGUGGCGAAGGCGGCUCACUGGUCCGGUACUGACGCUGAGGUGCGAAAGCGUGGGGAGCAAACAGG